Molecule: ribosomal RNA, 577 nt
Filed under: Marenzelleria neglecta
Lineage: Eukaryota; Metazoa; Annelida; Polychaeta; Spionida; Spionidae
Description: SSU rRNA
Rfam family: Eukaryotic small subunit ribosomal RNA
Source: RNAcentral
CACCACCAGGAGUGGAGCCUGCGGCUUAAUUUGACUCAACACGGGGAAACUCACCCGGCCCGGACACCGUAAGGAUUGACAGAUUGAGAGCUCUUUCUUGAUUCGGUGGGUGGUGGUGCAUGGCCGUUCUUAGUUGGUGGAGCGAUUUGUCUGGUUAAUUCCGAUAACGAACGAGACUCUAGCCUAUUAAAUAGUUCGCCGGUUCGGUAUUCGCCGGCGUCUAACUUCUUAGAGGGACAAGUGGCGUUCAGCCACGCGAGAGUGAGCAAUAACAGGUCUGUGAUGCCCUUAGAUGUUCGGGGCCGCACGCGCGCUACACUGAAGGACUCAGCACGUCUUCUCUCCCGGCCAGAAAUGGUCGGGCAACCCGCUGAACCUCCUUCGUGCUAGGGAUUGGGGCUUGCAAUUCUUCCCCAUGAACGAGGAAUUCCCAGUAAGCGCGAGUCAUCAGCUCGCGUUGAUUACGUCCCUGCCCUUUGUACACACCGCCCGUCGCUACUACCGAUUGGAUGGUUUAGUGAGACCCUCGGACCGGUCCCGGCGGGGCGGGCGACCGCUCUGCCGAGGUUGCUGGGAA